UUAUACAAUUAAUGUUAUUUAAUGUGUUUAUAAGUUAAAGCUUAUUUUUAUUGAAAAUUUAUAUAAUAUUUUUAGGUGAAAUUUAAAUAUUAUUUAUUUUUUAUAAAGUUUGUUUUUAAAGUUAAAUUUUAAACUAGGAUUAGAUACCCUAUUAUUUUAAUAGUAAAGCUUAUUGGGUAGUAAUAGUUAUGUUCUUUAAAUCCAAAGGAUUUGGCGGUGUUUUAGUCUAUUUAGAGGAAUUUGUCCCUUAAUCGAUAAUCCUCGUUGUAUCUUUCUUUAUCUAUUUUGAGUAUGUAUACCUCCGUUAUAAGUUUAUUUUAUAGGAUUAUUUACUUAAUAAUUUAU
This 345-nucleotide ribosomal RNA is filed under the name Cladomorphini sp. SantaCruzDeLaSierra. RNAcentral describes it as "partial 12S ribosomal RNA". Lineage: Eukaryota; Metazoa; Arthropoda; Insecta; Phasmatodea; Phasmatidae. The record is from RNAcentral.